This 610-nucleotide ribosomal RNA is filed under the name Hippolyte bifidirostris. RNAcentral's name for it is "bacterial SSU rRNA". It matches the Rfam family "Eukaryotic small subunit ribosomal RNA", at positions 21 to 612 of the family's 1831-position model. The record is from RNAcentral. Lineage: Eukaryota; Metazoa; Arthropoda; Malacostraca; Decapoda; Hippolytidae.
UAGUCAUAUGCUUGUCUCAAAGAUUAAGCCAUGCAUGUGUCAGUACAGGCCGCUCUAAGGCUAAACCGCGAAUGGCUCAUUAAAUCAGUUAUCAUCCCUUAGAUCAAUACCAACCUUACUUGGAUAACCCUGGUAAUUCUAGAGCUAAUACGUGACCACGGACACUCCGACUGGAAGGGAGGAGUGCUUUUAUUAGAUGAGAACCAAUCGGGCCUCGGUCCGCCAAACACAAACUGUGACGAAUCUGAAUAACUUUGUGCCGAGAGCACGGUCUCCGCACCGGCUCCGUAUCUUUCGAGUUUCUGCCUUAUCAUGCUGUGGAUUGUAGGCCAUGCGCCUACAGUGGCUGUAACGGGUGACGGAGAAUCAGGGUUCGAUUCCGGAGAGGGAGCCUGAGAAACGGCUACCACAUCCAAGGAAGGCAGCAGGCACGCAAAUUACCCAAUCCCAGCCCGGGGAGGUAGUGACGAAAAAUAACAAUGCGGGACUCUUCCGAGUCUGCGUAAUUGGAAUGAGCACACUUUAAAUCCUUUAGCGACAACCAAUUGGAGGGCAAGUCUGGUGCCAGCAGCCGCGGUAAUUCCAGCUCCAAUAGCGUAUAUUAAAGUUG